Non-coding RNA from Podarcis lilfordi (Lilford's wall lizard), 18148 nucleotides. NCBI's taxonomy places the organism in Eukaryota, Metazoa, Chordata, Lepidosauria, Squamata, Lacertidae. The record is from the annotation of a GenBank genome assembly.
GGGUACACCACACCCAUACCUGUACACCACCUAACUCUCCUUAAAUAUAGCCUCCAAACCCAGUAUUCUUUAGGGAUAAAAGAUGGGUAAUGGAAUGGAAAAUAUGUGAACAAAUUGUUCCAAAUGGAUGUUACUAUUUUGAAAAUAGAACAGAGAAGCUGAAGGCAUUCUCAAACAUAAUAAUUUGAUAUUUAUUUAAUUUUUUAUUUCUAAGGGAGGGUUGUGGAGAAAGUAUUUGAAGACCAUGAGGCAUGCAUGGAAAUCCAGACCACCUCUUCUUAUAUCUGUCAGCAACUGCUAUUGCAUCACAGUUGCUAUGAGAGUGAACAGCAUGAGAAGGAACCAGAAGGCAAUGUAGGUUUAUUGACUAUAGAAGUUUCAUGACAGCCAGACUCUAAUGGUGGCUUUACAGAUGAACAGUACAAACCUGUGCAUGUUUAUUUAGAAUGUGUUCAGUGAGACUUCAUUCCACGUAAGUGUGCAUAGGACUGGAUCCUAAGAACAUAAUUAUUUGAUUUAUUGAGGAGUAAGCCUUACUGAAUGCAUUGGAAAUUACCAUAUUUUUCGCUCUAUAAGACGCACCAGACCACAAGACACACCUAGUUUUUGGAGGAGGAAAACAAGAAAAAAAAUAUUCUGAAUCCCAGAAGCCAGAACAGCAAGAGGGAUCGCUGCGCAGCGAAAGCAGCGAUCCCUCUUGCUGUUCUGGCUUCUGGGAUAGCUGCGCAGCCUGCAUUCGCUCCAUAAGACGCACACACAUUUCCCCUUACUUUUUAGGAGGGAAAAAGUGAGUUAUAGAGCAAAAAAUACGGUAAUUGCAUGCCAGACUGCAUAGGAUUCUCCUGUAAGACUUGCCCUGUAAGAGAGCAAGGAAUGGCAGAUUCACACUGUCCCUUUUAUUACACGAUAAAUAGUUUAUGCACCUUUGUUUGUAUAUUCGUUGAUGAAUGUAGGCCAAGCAUUCUUAAAUUCUAAGCAAGGAUGGGGAACCAGUGGCCCUCCAGAUGUUGGAGCUGGCUGGGGCUCAUGAGAGUUGGAGUCCAACAACAUAUGGGAGGGCCACAGGUUGCUCUUCUCUGAAAUAGAGUUACAAACCCAUGUUUCCUUCUGCUGCCAGAGACUACUGUGAUUAAUGAUUCCAUGGUUGUGCUCCAUCCCAUUCUGUUCUCAGUAAAAACCAGCCAAUUCCAAAACUGUCACUCUUAGCAUAAAGGACUUCUACUAAAACAGCUUCAAGCUGUUAAACAUUUUGCAGCGUCUGAACUUUCAAAUUUCGAACUUUUCAAAACCUGUACUAUGGAUCAAGUUAGAUCCAGUUAGUCUGUUAUGUCGAAGCCGGCAAUACAAUUUUGAAAUGCUAAUUCUAACAUAAACUGAGCAUUAACACAGAAGCCACAAGGGGUGGGUGGGAAUUUUCAAGUUCUUCGUUUAGCUGAUGACAAAAUAUCUACAAUGAUAUUAGACUUAAAACUGUAAGCGGAUGGAACUUGAAAAAGGGGCAGCUUAAUAUCAUCAUAAAAAUGCAAACAAAAAAGUUAGAAUUGAAUUCUCGCUCAUCUCCAAACAUUCCCAUUUUAUGAGCAAAUGCAUAAAGCAUAUUGAAAAGCCUUGCUGUAAUCCCGCCUAACAGCAGCACACUUGCUCCUAUUAUAAUUAAAAGCAAACCUUGGUAGUGAAGCUGAAACAUAAUAAAUACAGCAACAUUUAAAGAAAGAAAGCUGUGCUAAUCUGAUAGAAUUCUAGAACAGGGAAAUAACAGCAGUAAGAACAGCCAACCUUACUUGUUGUUGUUCAGUUAAAACAUGCUCCCGUACUAGAGAAAUCCAAACCAUACGAAAGUUUUCAGCAGUCUAGAAAUUGCUCGAGUGGAUGCUGUGUUUAUUUACCAAGCCUUAAAAAUCUGUGGUGAGGAGCAGUACUGAGUUAGCUCUCAAGUUCAUCAAGAGCACCGCUGAAAGUCCUACUGUAACUACAGGCAUGAAGUUUGCUGCCAGUUAGCUUUUCUGCUGCUCUGUGCUUGUAAAUACAAGCUCUGUGGACAAAGUCCCAAAUGACAUCACAAGCAGCUGCUUAUUGUUGAGUCUUUAUUAACUGGCUGUCAAAAAAAGAAAAGAGGAACUGAGAGGGGUGGGGAGGCACCACUGUCUACCCCGAAGCACAAUCUGAGAGCUUAGUCGGUAUUUCACUUAUACAUAUGUAAAUACUUGUGAUUAUCUAAACUAUGCUUUCCUUAGGAUCAUGAAGCCAAGUUUCCAUAAGAAUCAUAUCCUUUGCCAGUCUGAAAAAUGAAAGGAAUAAAAAGGACAUGAGGUCUAGUGAGAAAAACAUAUAUUAAAUGCUGCAUUUACCAUACUUUUUAAAAGCUGCAUACUUCUAGUAUGACUUUUUAUAUAUAAAUGUUAUAUAGAUGCACACACAAAACCAGCACAGAUGCUAGGAAUGGUUUGAAGUUUAAUAGAGUCUGCUAAGUCUUAGAGUGUAAGAAAAACUUUGCAAAAAUUUUAAUAGGUUCAUCAAACAUGCUUAAGUGUUUUGUAGGACUAAUAUCUUAUAUCUAACUUGAUAAAUAAAUAAAUAACCACCAGUAAAAUAAGUUCAUGUCUAUUUUUUUAAAAGGUGAUUAUAUAAAGUCUCUUUCUGUGUCUCUUUCAGAUUUAAAUCUCAAAAAUUUGAGACUGUAGUCCUAAUAAUAUUUAUACGCCCAUGUAAGUCUUAAUGAAAUCAGUGAGGCUUUCUUCUGAAUAAAAAGGUUGAGGAUCAGGCUGUAACUGACAAAGAGAGCCAUUCAGCUUGUGGUGGGUGAGCUGGUAAGACAAGAAAUUACUGACCUUUCACUCCUGAGAUUGGGACCUGAGACUAGUCUUUAUGUGUGAAACGAGAAUAACAGCUUCUAGUCUUCAAGGAAACUGCAUUGCUCGGAUGAGGGAAAUUAGCAUGUCCCUAAGUGUGUGUUCCACUUCCUUGUCCCCAUGAGUGUCACCUCAAAGAAAGGCCUUGAGCUGAAGUUACAAAACAUCUGCACUUAUUUCCCAAAAGCUAAACUUUUCAAGUGAUGACCUGGAUCACUGAAAGGGCAAGGUGAAGGAAGUGCUACUGUGUAUACUAAUAGCUAUUCUCUAUUGAUGACACAAACAUGGGAGGACUCCAGCAUUGAGAAAUACCAACCAUGUAUUUCUUUUUAUUAAAAAAAUGCAGUUAUCAGACUCAAGAGAAUUAAGGAGGACUUAAACUCUGAAAUGUUUCAGACAUCAGCUUUUCUCUAGUUUACAGAUCCUCCUUUGUUAGGAGCACUUAGCCUCCGUUCAAACCGUGCUGGCCAUGCACAGGGGGUUGGAUUAGAUGACCCUCAGGGUCCCCUCCAAACUCUACAAUUAGAUGAUUCUAUAAAAUCAGACCUGCAAGAGAAGGAAUGAAAGGAAUGCUUCAGCUUGUCACUCCUUCAUGGUCCAACACAACACAGGUUGUUGCAGCAGCCCUGUUACCUCUGGACUUUUAUGAUCUAUGGACAUAUACAUGUCACUGGGUCUGCCUCAGUUUCUGAUCACAUUAAAAAUUUUCAUCCUCCAAAAGUCAUAAAAAAUGGUACUAGCCCAUCACACUGUGUCCCAGUGAUAGUAUUGUCCUACACAUGCCUACCUAGAUUUAAGUCCAUCCUACAUAUUUAAAUAAACAAGGUUGCCACCCUAAAUAAGACCUACUGAACCGCUUCUGAACAGAUAUGGCUAGGAUUGCAUUGUUAGCAGUGUGCUCCUUAUUUUCUAGAAUCAUCACUGUUUCUCUGCAAUUGUGCUAGUAUUGUAUAUCUGUCCUUGUAUGCCUCAAACUUAAGUUCCCUUGGUGUGUGACUGAGCAGUCCUGCCUUGGUUCUUAAUGAUGUCCAUUCAACACUUUCUAAAAGCAAUGUGCCAUAAAAGUGGUAAGUUAUCUUAUAGGUAUAAAUAGAUUUCCAGUUAUACCACUACUUUAGCUUUCAAUCCAGUAGUCAGAGCCAAGUGCUUCACUGAACUGAAGGAUUAUUGCUCUAUAGACUCCUUUGCUUGGAAAGGAAGAAUUUUGGUUGUUCUAAUAACAAUGUCUGACCUAUCACAGAACUUCAUUUCUAUCGAUGUAAUGCUUUGCUGUCAAAGCUGUGUCCAAAGAGAAUAUCAAUGGGUUUUAUCCAACAUUAAUCAUAAUCAAAGACCCACACAGAGCACAUUAUAGUAAUCCAACCUUGAGGUCACUAAUACAUGAGUCACAGUGGCCAUGCUAUGGUUCGCCAAAUGUAUCUAGAAGGUAGCCCACUGAAUACAGUAGUCCCUACUAAUUCAUAUGACUGCAUUAGCAUGUCACCUUUUUGCAAGGUGAGUAUCAUGGGGCCUGUGAAGAACAUUAAUGUCUUUGUGUGAUUUCACAAACUCGUCACACUUUCUCCGAAAUCAAAAUCUGGAAAAACAGCCAUGUUGCUAAGAUUGAGUUAUCACCAUGUUUGGGAGCAGUUGCAAUCCUAAUGCCAUGGAAUGCAGUGUUUAAAUUUAAUUUGACUGCAGUAUAACUGAUCCAAAUGCAGUUUUUCCAAUUCUGAAUUAGAAAUAAUACAUUAAGUAUUUGGGGAGAAGGGGAUGAAGCAUCACAAAGAAAUUAACCCCUUUGCUGUAGUAAAAAAAGCCACAUUGACAAGGAAGUGGUCCAUGUUAUGGAAAUACUUUCACAUAUGUUUAGAACCAACUAGAACCCCAAAUACAUAAAGGGGUUAUGUUUGACUUUCUGCUGCAAUUUGAAAUUUGACUUUCUGCUGCAAUUUUUUUUAGUGAGUCUGAAGUCAGUUAGGUUCAUGAUGCAUCUCAUUAGAUAAAAUGCAAAAGCCUAGUAAAUACAGAAUAUAUACAUAUAUAUAUAUUAAAAUAUAUUUGCUUUCGUACGUUAAGAAAAGUGCUUAUUCCUCCAAAACAAAAGAUGCCAGAUGCAUAUUUUCACAUAAUACUUACACUCAUGAAACCAUAAAGAACACAUUUAAAACACACAACUGCAUAUUUGUUCCUAUAUUUUCAGUAUUGCUCCGAUUCAAGAAUGUAUGACGAAUGAAUAUGCCACAUUCAGCCCAAAACAAAUCACUAACUUUCUGCUCCUACAGGGAUAUAUUUCUUGUGGAAUCAUAUGUUCAAAAAUACUGCAUGUCUCAGAUGGUCUUUCUCUCAUCUUUCAAGAGUGGGUCUGUUCUUGUAUAACUUUUACUAGAAUCAUCUGGGAAUCAUUUGUAUUAGAAGUAAUAAGAAAUUCCAUCUUCCAGGACUGCAGCAAAGACAUAGACAUAUUUUACCUUCAACCAUAGUCUAAAACACAGGUAAGGUUGAACUGAAUUUUGAAGCCUGGCUCAUGUAUUUUUGCCCUAUGUUAAAAUGUGUGUUGACUAAUUUACAAUACCAAUCUCUACCUCACAGAUAUUUAGAAAAAUUAAGCACUAUUUAAAGCUGUUUGUGUGAAUCAUCUCUUAGGUUUAUGUAAUGGCACAUUCUGGCACCAAAUUUUAGUGAAUUGCUUUAAGUGAUCAAACAUAAUUUAGGAAUAUUUAAAGCAUGUUGCACAUUAGCAUUGGUAAAUAUUUUACAGCAGUGAAUUUAACAAGGUUAGUUACUUGAGAGAUUGUUCAACAUAACUCAGUAACACUGGCAGUGGCGGAGGAACCCCCUCCGGCACCUGAGACGGCCCAGCCCAUAUGGACUGCGCAUGUGCAGCAUCCCACGCGUGCGCACUCUGUACAGAAUGCUGCACAUGCGCAGUCCGUACAGGAUGCCGCUUGCGUGCAGCGGUCGUACAGACGCCGCACGAGAGCAACACCCAUACGGACUGCAGGUGCCCUCGGCCACUCUACAGCUGGGGGGAGGCAGGGGCCAUCUUGUCACCCUUCCCAGAGUGGCGCCCGGGGCAGCCCGCCCCCUCCACCCCCCUUCCUAUGCCACUAAACACAGGGCUACAGCCAGAGUUUGCCUUCUCUGGAUAGAAAGACUUCUUUUAAUCAGAUGGGAAUGUUGAUCCAGCAGAGGGAGCCUGCUGAUUGACAGCAGAAGGAGAGCAACUUUUACUGAUUCCCCAACCCUCCAGAACAAUGGUAGUGGUACUGCUGGGGUGCUGGACAGGAAGGAGCGUCCUCAGGCAUGUUCAUCCUUGGAUGAACCUCUGGUACCUUGGGUUAAGAACUUAAUUUGUUUGGGAGGUCCGUUCUUAACCUGAAACUGUUCUUAACCUGAGGUACCACUUUAGCUAAUGGGGUCUCCCGCUGCCGUGCAAUUUCUGUUCUCAUCCUGAAGCAAAGUUCUUAACCCGAGGUAUUAUUCUGGGUUAGCGGAGUCUGUAACCUGAAGUGUCUGUAACCCGAGGUACCAGUGUACUGUUACAAUGACCACCUAGGCUGGCCCACACACUUAGGAGAGUCAUGCUCUGGAGUAAAGGUUUGAGGUUGGUCACCCUGGCAAAACUGCCACUUUCUAAGGCCCUAAACCCUCUAGACCUGAGGAUUCAUGCAAUACUGGCUUGUGUUGUGAACAUAAGUAUAAGCAGAAAGGAAGCAAGAAAUUGCCAAGAGUUAACAACAAAACUGAGAAAAGAAAGGGCUGGUGUGGGAUAGAUAAGACAAAGAUAUAUCCAGACUGUCCCAGAGUUUAAGCAUUUAGUCCACAAAUCAAAAUAAAAGCACAAAUGCUUAGGCUUCCAGCUAUGCAUAUGAAUAAGUAAACAUUUACUUCUCUGGGGUGCUUCUACCAACCAUACCUUCCUCCAUAUCCACAACAAGUGGUGGCAAAACCAAAUUAAGUCUAAACAUGGCAGAUAGUAGGAACAGACAUUCCUAUUGUCUCAUAUGAGAACAUAACCUUGAGAAGUCUGGUAAAUAUUAUUUUCAGUACUACUAAUAGACCAAACAGGACAAACCAGUAAUGCAUGUGAAAAGGAAGUUAAUGUUGUCAUCUUUCUAGAAACCCAGUAGCCUAUAGAUGAUUAGGUUUCAAACUUUUUAAGGGUAUAGGGCUUUCAAUAAACUAGAAAUUCCUAUUGCUAAAUUGCCUCCCCUACCCCUCCACCUUCUCAAGGAAAUCAAAAAGCAGUACCCAUAUUUGCAAAUGGAAGAGACAAAAUUAAUGGUAGGCACAGCUUUCUAAACCCAGGAGAAACUUUUGCUAGAAAUGAUGGUCUGAGUAUAUUAAGAAACAUUUCCUGUCAAAUAUUAUGGGAUUUUUAGUUGCUGGGGGAGUGUCUGCUUCCCAAUUCAGUUCAGGAGGAAGACAAAACUACAACCCCCAUGAUUCUCACCAGGAAAUGAUAUCCCCGAGUCUUUUCUGGCUAAACUGGUGUGUUGUGUGUGUGUGUGUGUGUGUGUGUGUGUGUGUCUGUCUGUGAGUAUAUUCUGGGACAUGUCACUGUUGCUGUAAUAAUAUUGCAUUAGUGGUGGAUUUAUGUUGGACUGCCCACACAUCAUUCCAUUUCAUCCAGAGGAGUGCUGUUUAGUUGUUGCCUGUGUUACAGAGGCCCAACUGACCUUAACCAGAAUUGUGAGCAUUUACAUAGUAUUGCCAGACCCAUGUAGUGGAACACUCUUCCAACAGAGAUUCACCAGACAUGCUUGCUUUUGACUUUCAGGUAUCACUUGAAUACUUUUUUUUGUUUGUUCCAAGAGGCCUUUGCAGCUUUUAAAAUUUUGAUUGGCCAGUCACCUUAAUUAUCUGUAUUCCUAAUUUUUUAAAAAGAUUGUGUUUUAUGUUUUAACAGCGUAUACCACCUUAGUAUCUCAUGAUGUGGCAGUGCAGAAAUCCUUCUAUAAAUAAAUCCUGGCUCUUCCCAUUGGAUGAAGAACUCUAGUUCUGCCAAAGGCUUCAAUUUUUAGAUAAGAUUGGUGCAUAAGGCAAGUUACAGGCUUCAGAAAUCAGCAGGUACAUGAGAGCUGAAAUGCAGAUGAACUAAAACCUUCAUCCAACCUGAACAUGCCACCUGCUGCUUGCUUUGAAGAGCAGAGCCACCACAGCUAUAUGCAUGGCAAGCAGCUACAGUCUCAACACUGGGCAAACAAACAGGCACUCCUUUGAGUAAAUUGGGUCCAUGAUGCUUGUUAGUCCCAGCACUGGUGUCUCCAUUGAGACAGAGCUGGAAUUAGGACCAGCUCAGCAUCAGAGUUGUUCUCAGUUGGGGAGGCUCCUCACUGACAGGGGAAUGUGUCAAAGGCAACUCCAGAUCCUGUUUGCACACGAGAUCCAAGCCACCAACUAUAUUACUUGUGACACAUGCAAAAAAAAAAAGGUGUUCUUUUCCCAAAAGAAAUUAUCUAAGUAUCUUUGUCCAUCACAAAUAAACUUUACAGCGCUUCUGCUAUCGAAAGAGACAACAAUCAGAACAGCUUAUAGAAAAUGAGGAAUUUAUUUUAUUCUGACAGUUUUAUCUCUGGUAGCCUUCUGCAUAUACAGAACAGAUGAGGUGAUAUGCAGCAGGCUGUGAGAGAUCUGGCAACGUGCAUCACAUCAGUAAACAAUAAGGAAAGGGGCAGGAUUUUGCCUAGAUUUAACCAAGGAAAUAGAGAUGGUGACAUUUUCUACCUUUGCCCUUUUCCUUUUGGAAGAAGAGUUCUCUUAUUUUCCAAGUCUCAGGAUUCCUUUGACUUUUUUUUUUAAAGUUUAAAAGCAAAAUCCUAAUCAGUCACCCCUAUUUAUGAUAGAACACUAUUUCUUCUCUACUUUACUGUCGGCAAUUUUAUCCUAAGACCCAUUGGUCUUAAUAAGCACUUUAGAGGUGUCCAGUGAAGCCUGCUACAUUUCGUACAAAUUACCAAACCAUAUUCAGGGUAUCAAAGCCUAUAGUAGGUCCAACAAAAAUGGGAACACCUCAAAACAUAACUGAAAACAAACAAACAAAAAAGUGGCAGAGAAGAAAAAGUCUUGUUGAUCCAAUGUGUUUCAGACCAUUCUGGUUCUUCAGGGAAAUUCAGGGACCAAUGGGGUCUAAAAUGUGUUGGAACAACCAGGGGCAUAGUGUUUGGGGGAGUAGGGUGGCGUAGCCCCAGGAGCACAAUUUUUAGGGGGCAUGAACCAAGAGUCUCCAUAAAAGGAUCCCCAUCCUGCCCUGUCUGCCCCUGGUGGUCUUUGAGCCCCAGAGCCCAGCCUGGUCUUGCCGUCGUAUCCCCAGCCUCCUUGUUGAUUGGCCACCUGGUCAGCAUGGGGGGGGGAGGCGGGAUCUGCCUGCCAAGGCAUGCAUCGGCCAGAUGGGCUCCUCCCUGCACAAGCAGGCAGAUGUGCAGCGCAGCCAUGCUUGGCCAGGGGUGAGCUGGCACACAGGUUCCAUGAACCCUCCAUGUCCAAUGCAUGCACACCCAGUUCUAGAAAUUAUGCUGGAAUUUAGACCUGUAAUAUUUAGGCAGGAUCUGACUUAGAAGCGGAUUCUAAAACUAUCCUUAAUUAAAACUCUUAGCUUCAUUACCGCUACCACAUAAAGACCUGGUCAGUAGUAGUAUCUAUGCCAGGCACAGGCAAACUCAGCCCUCCAGAUGUUUUGGGACUACAACUCCCAUCAUCCCUGACCACUGGUCCUGUUCGCUAGGGAUGAUGGAAGUUGUAGUCCAAAAAACCUAUGGAGGGCCGAGUUUGCCUAUGCCUGAUCUAAGCAUGUGUUAAAUUGCUGUUCUACAACUUCCAGCUCAAAAACCUUCAUCACAUAGGGAAAGCACACCUGGGUCUAUGUUAAGUAGAUAAUUGGUGCAGUGGCUUAGAUAAAGGUAGCAUAGAGUAAGAGACAACAUCUUCUGUUACAUUUUUGCAAAGGCACAAUAUUUCUUUUUUGCCCACGGGUAGAGAAAAGAAGAUGCAUAUUUUUAUGUUCUUUUGUCCAGAUUGUUUUCUCUUCUGGAGCCUGUGAACAUUUCUCCCUGAACUUUACAAAGGAGAAACCCUUUGUAGGCUGAUAUAAAUAAAAUUCAUAGCACAGAGUACUACUUAUCUACCAAAUGCCUUUGCAACUUUUCUUGAAAAUCUGAGCUCAGAGGUACAGUUUCAAACCAUGUGAUAAAGACUUCAGUGAGAUUAGAAGCAUCAAAAGAAACCUUCAAUUCAAAACAAGCAGCAAAGUCUUUGUUAUAUUAGUCACAAUAUAUUUUUUUCUAAAUUAGCAGGACUCUCGCUCUCAGCUGUUCAAGCUAUUCUUUCCCCUCUACAUAUUAGGUGAGCUUAAAGGGGUCAGUUUACCACCUAAGCUUGCCUAAGGUAUAUAUUUAAAGUGAGGGUGUGGGUGGGAUGUGAGGAGAGUUGAUGAACGACAGGGGUACCUUUUCAGGUUCUGGGAACAGAGUGCAAAAUGUUGCAGUUGGCUGUAGGUGUGGAUUGCUCCGCAGAGUUUAAAGGCAAACCCUUACAUCUAUUCAUGUUAACUUGCAUAAAGCAGUGUAUUUUAAGAGCUUGGUGUGGGGUGUGGGUGGAUGUGGGUGUAAUGCAUGAUAAUAUUGUUAACAAUAUACGGAACAAUCACAUACAACCUGAAAGAGUAGGUGGGGGCAGGGAGCAAAGAGGAGAAAAGGAUGAUAUCAACCCUGUCUUUCUUAAACCGUUCUGCUGCAAUAAUAUUAGAGGCUUUUCCUUCCAUUAUUCAAACCUAGUAAUAUAUCAAUAUAUUUCAUUCAAAGAACAAUGUAAUGAUUCACUAUUAGUCAUUAUGACUAAAUGGAACUUCCAUGGUCAAAGACAAUAUACCUAUAUAAACACCAGCUGCUGGUGGGGGGUGGGUAGAAUUGGGAGGGCUGUAGCCUUCAUACUGUAUUUUUGGAUCUAGCUGUGCAUUCUUUGAAACAGAAUGCUGCACUAGUUGGACUCUUCAUCUUCCUGUGAUCACUCUAACAUAAUAUAUUUGAUCAUUUGCCAAUAUUUGUUAUUCUCUGACACAUUCUUCUGAUGUACACUCCCUGCUUGUAGUCUCUUCUGAAAGCUAUCAUUAAGAGACAGGGAGACCUGCUUCCAUUUCCUCAUUUCUGUGUGUAAUCCCUCUGGCUAAGCUCAAUUUUGAAAUGCUGUGUACUUACUCUGCAAGCCUCAGGUCAAUUUCAUCAACUCUCAGAAAACAUAAUUUGGGACUAUUGGUUUGCUCAUCCUCUUGUGUCUCAUCUUCUGCAGUGGAAGACUCAUUAUAUCUGGAGAUAAUGUACUCAUUUCACAUAGAAGAUCAUAUAUUAAAACAGUUCCUAGCCCAGUAUUAGGUCCCCUAUAAAUCUAGACCAACCUUCUUGCCCAAAACUGAAUCUUACACAUAUGAAUACUGUAAAGCUCCUGCUUCUGUAGCUUUAGCCUCAGUGACAAAACAUUGCACAAGAAGAAGAAAUAAAUUACCUCGCACCAAACAAGAGUCAACAAGUUUCCUCAUGCUGAAAUAUCUUUAAUGAUUCAAAAAAUAGGCUAAACAAACAAUCCAGAUGUCUAUUAAGCAAGUUGUCAAAUCCAUUUAUUAGCUAGGAAGGCAAAAAACCAAAACAACAAAUACGAACAUAAAAGCAGACAAUUCUCAUUUGGGGAGGAAAUCCUUCUUACUUCUUCCUAAAUAAAGCAAAUCAGGCUAUGGACUUCAGCAUGGUUUAUCUUCUAAACCACUCCUGAAAGAAAUGCACGUGGCCUUCUCUAUUACAAGGCAACUCCACUUAACAUCCAAACCAUGGUUUAGCUAGCUUUCAAGUGAGUGCACUGGAAAUGCUGCAUCCAAUUUCUUGUACAUGACCAGGGAAACCCCUAAAAUUAUUGGAUCUACAAUCCAAGGAGCUCCCUUAGAAACCACUGUGGUCUGCUCCUGAAUGUACACUACAGACCUUUUGACUGGCCUUUUCUUUCUCUAAGAAGCAGCCCUAUCUUUUCCAUGCCACUUUUACAAAUUGAUUCGAAAACUUCCUGAAAUUUUAAAUGUGAUUUCCUAUAUGGGUGCAGUUAGAGAUUUUAAAAAGAGAGAGCUGUUUAAAUGAUUCUUAUUUUGGAGACUUGCUUCUCAUUAUGCUGGAAGUAUGAAAAAGUUGUUGUUUGGAAAUAAAAACUCUUACUGUAUAUAGCCAAAUUAAGAUUUUCUUAUAUAAGAUCUGACUGGAUAUGGAGUCAAAACCUGCACCCUAAUGUUAUGAUCUCUCCACAGAAAGGUUUAUAGUUUCUUCGUAAAUGAAAAAAGAGCGAAUGCCAUGGCCAAAGAGACCUAGGGCAAAACAGAGUGAGAAAUAGCAUAUUGGCAAGUGCUACUAAUUUGAGCACUGGCUCAAAAGCUAAUGUUAUGAAGAUUCUAACCAUUAUGUAGUCUUUUCAUUAUCUCUUGGACCAUGAUGCAUGCAGCAAUAAUGGUAGGGACAGCCAGUGGAGAGACUCUGCUUCACAAUGAUAUAAUUUCAGAGUACCUAUGAUAUGAAUUAUUAAUUCCCAGGAUAUUUUUGUACUAGAAGUGAAUUAGCUGCAGCUAGACACAAGAAAGCUAAGGCUUUUAUUUGUAUCCUGGGGGUAUAUCUCAUGAAUCUAGUUGCCAAGAGAUAUGGAUUUAUAUAUAUAAAUGGUAUCUAGCUAUACAAACAAAUAAACUUUGUCACGUCUGUUAUGGAACCUGAGGAUAUAUAAAUGCUCAAAUACUUAUUUCUGCUUUAAAGAGAUAAAACCAGACUGCCACGCAAAGGGUUUCAAAAUAAAAGUACAGCAGCCAGAAAAUGUGAUGGUAAUUAGUUCAUUUAAUGACCUAAUAUGAAUAUAACUGUCUCUUUAAAAUGUAGCACCAACUAAGCAAAAUAUGGAGGAUGUGAGUCACUCAUGCAUUAAGCAGGUGCCUCUAUUUUAGGUAGCCUAACAUAAAAAAAUUGUGCAUUAGCAUAAACUUGACUUACCCUUCGGGUGAAUGAUGCCUACAUACCUUUGCAUUCUCAAGGUGGAAUUAAUUUUUAUUUUUUUGCAAUGAGAAGCUGUUUUUAAAAUGAUGUAUUUUCAAGAUCUUCCUAAUUUGGGGGUUGGGGGAGCUUUCUAAAUUUAGUCUAAAGCCCUUUUCACUUAGAACAGGGAUGGAGAACCUGCGACCUUUCAGAUGUUGUUAGACUCCUUUCAGCAUCUGUCAACAUGGUCAAUGGGCGAGCAGUGGUGCAAGCUGUAGUCCAACAACAUCUAAAGGACCACAGGCCCCCCAUCCAUCUUUGUCUUAGAAUGUUCCCAUUGCCUAUUUAGGCAUCCCCAUUUGAGCUGUGAGGCUGUUUCGGCCAAGCCAUGCCUACCUGUCCUACCUGUGGGUCAGGUAAAGAGAUGGAUGGGCUGACAGGCAGAGUCACAGGCACCACCAGCCACCUAAUUGGUGGCACUUGCAAAGCCCCAUGCAUAGCACUUUGCAAGUGCCGACAAACAGCUGAUUGUUGGUGCUUCCAUGCACAAAAACAUGUCAUUAUUCAAAAACAGAUCAUUGUUACAUUGCGUAAUUGUGGUAAAAUACAGGUAGCCAUACGUUUUCAUUUUGAAAUUGGGUUCAAAACCCAAUUUACAUCAUCAAGGUAAUUUGAAAGUACACACUGAGUAGUUAAUACUCACUAGGCUGCUGCCAUACUAGCCAUAAGCAGAAAUCUACUACAGAGGACGGAUCAGUAUUUUUUGCUGGGUGAGAUAAUGUUUUAACUAUGUUUAGAAAGUUUUAAAACUUUAGAUUUUUAAAAAUGUUUUUCAUUACUGUAUCUGCUCCUGUGGGCUCCUUAGGGAAGAAGGGCGGGAUAUAAAUAAACAACAACUCUUACAUUCUAUUUGUCAAUGGAGUGGUAUUGUCUGUCAGCUUUCUCCUUAGUCCAAGUGUUGUCAUUUUAGAACUCAACAGGGAGAAGGACAGAGAUAAAACUAGAAUUAGUUGGCUCUGCCUAUCAUUCACUUUGGGUCCUCCUACCAUCAGUCUCCCAAUCUCCCAACCUACCAGGCCUAAUGGACACCAGACACCACUGAGAGGCAACCUUCAAACUUGGUGCUUGCCCUGAAAUACAGCUAUCUAAUACUAGACUAUUAGAAGACCCCAUCUAAUUAAUUAAUUCUUCUAAUGAAAUAGAAGCAUUUCAUCUAAUAAAAUAAUUUUGAUAUGUCAAAAAUCCCCUCAAAUCCCAAAAGGUACAAUAUCUAAAAUUUAUAAUUGCAUCACUACAUUUUAAAUACUGGUAUGAAGGGGAUUUUUAAUUAAUAAAUAAAAAAAUGUAAAGAGCACAUACACUGAACGAUUUGAGACUCAUUUGACAAGUAAUAGAUAGCAAGAUACACAGUAAAGUCCUCUAUCAUGAUUUAUGAUUGGUGAGGUGAAAGAUUGCCAUUUUAAAUAAUCUAAAGUUCUUGACAUGGUAAUUAUACAAAAAGCAAUGUUUGGAUUUAUUUCAAAUGUGGGUUGACUCCAAUGCUGUAUCUGGUUACUAAGAACUGUUUGUAUUAAGCUAAUUCCUUCUAUCUAGCACGUAUUACACAGAACACCAAAGAAAUAUAUUAAGGGGGAAAUAUAGACACCAUACACUAGCGAUGCUAGAUCAAACCCUAAAUGUAAUUGCAUUGCAAGUAUAUGCAUGUGCCAUAAGCAGCCUGCAACUUUUCCCUGCCAAAAUAAAGGGCCUCUCUAUUCUACAAUUAGCAAAAACGUUCUCAUGCAUCCAAUAUUUCCCUUGAGGCAAUAACAACCUUAUUUUAGGUGUAGACAUCCUUGUUCAGCUUUUAUCUGUCAAAAAGGAUAAACUUAAAAAGACAACAGCACUUACUUGGAUUUGGGGGAGGUGGUGGAAAUACAUUUUACAUAGGCCUAAUAAAUAGCUGUGGGUACACAAUAGAAGCUGACAUAUCUAGUAAUACGAACUGUUAUCAGAUGAGCCAACCUUUGAAUAUACAAUGCUCUGACAGAUGUACUUUCACACACCCAACUGUCAAGGGGUAUAAGCAGCUGGAAAGUGAUUUUGCACAGUAAGUGGAUGAUUGAAAAGGAAGUGAAGGGAACUCUGGCUAUGAUGAAGUGUGUGUGUGUGUGUGUGUGUGUGUGUGUGUGUGUGUGUGUGUUUUCACACAAACGCACAUGCUGAAAGUUUAAUAUCACAAGGUAGAUUAGGUCUCCUUAACACCCUUAAAAUAGCUUAUCAAAUUCACACACAGUGGUUAAGUAAUGCAGAUGAGACCCAGAGAUACACCAGCAGAAUAAUUUCUGAUAGUGGUGCUGUUCUGGCACCUCAAAGACCUACUGGAAGACUUUUCAGAAAAGGGACUUGGCACCAGCAUGCAUCCUGAAACAUGGUCUGUUCUUGGCUUAUCCUCAUGGCUUGUUUGGAGAGAAAGAAUUCAUGAGGACUGGUUCACACAAAAGCACUAAGGAUUGUUUCCUCCCAAAAACUUUGGUUUGUUUCUUCCCAGCACAGCAAAUGGGGGAGACAGACAUGAUGUGAGCAGCAUGCUUGCUCAUUCCCAGUAAGCCUUGAUUUGUUUAACUCUGCCUUACCGUUAGAUGCCAUCAUUAUGCCAUUGCCCCUGACAGUCAUCAUUUUCAUUCCAUGACUGACAUUUGUGGGAGUAAAGAAACUCUGAGCACUGUGACAUUGUCACUUCUGAUUUACUAUUUGCUCCUAUACAUUUUUAGUAUAUGUUACUGUGGAAAGCAACCUCUGCCCUUGGAGAUUUACUCAAGACAAAGGCACUGAAAUAACAAACCUUGUAUUGCUCACCAGUGGCUACCAACCAUGAAGGCUGUGUUUUACCUCCACUGUCAGGGGAAUCAUGCUGGGAACUGCAAGUGGGGAGAAUGCUGUUAUGCCUGGUUUUGGCAUAGAAACUGCUUUGGUCUAUCUGUAUGAUGAUCUCUGUCGAGAUGAAAUGGAAUACUCAGGAUGAAACGGUGAAAUCUGCUAUGAUUAAAUGGGCACAAGAUGUUGGACAUAAUAUUAUGUUUGCUGACUGGGAACAGUUAUGGACCACAGGUAUGAAGUUUACGGCAUGUAAUGCCCUAAGAGAGAAUAUUAUGAAAAUGAUAUACAGGUGGUACAUGACCCCAGUCAAGCUUGCAAAAAUCUAUCAUUUGCCCGAUAAUAAAUGUUGGAAAUGUAAAGAAACUGAAGGUACAUUCUUUCACCUUUGGUGGAUGUGCCCAAGGAUUAAGGCUUUCUGGGAGAUGAUUUAUAAUGAAAUAAAAAAGGUAUUUAAAUAUACCUUUCUGAAGAAACCAGAGGCCUUUCUUCUGGGCAUUGUCGGCCAAUUGGUGCCAAAGAAGGACAGAACCUUUUUUAUGUAUGCCACAACAGCAGCAAGAAUACUCAUCGCAAAGUAUUGGAAGACACAAGAUCUACCCACUCUGGAAGAAUGGCAGAUGAAGGUGAUUGACUACAUGGAAUUGGUGGAAAUGACUGGCAGAAUCCGAGACCAGGGAGAAGAGUCGGUGAAAGAAGACUGGAAGAAAUUUAAAGACUAUUUACAGAAAUAUUGUAAAAUUAAGGAAUUUUAGAAGGAUGUUGGAUAGAAACUAAGAGGUUUUUAGCUGUAAUGCUUUAAGAGAUAUGAAAAAAAGGUUUACAAUUGGGUAAAAGCUUAAUGGUAAGGAUUUGCUGAACUAACAAACUGAACUGGAAUACAAAAAAGGGAGGUACGAGGAGGUCCGGGGAAAUAAGUGUAGGGAAGAUAGGUUAUGGAAAAUUAAUGUCUUUUUAACUGUUUUAUUUUGUAUGUUUCCUUUUAUUUUUUACUUUUUUGUUAUAUUUUAAAAACUUUAUUCUUUUUUCUGUAUUCUGUAUUUCUUGUAUUUUUUGAAACUUUAAUAAAUAUCAUUAAAAAAAAAGAUGAUCUCUGUCGAGAGAGAGAGAAGGGAAACAUGUCCCUAUUAAUUAUCCUCAACCUCUCAGUGGCUUUCAAUACCAUUGGCCAUGGUAUCCUUCUGGAGCGACUUUCCGAACUAGAGGUGGGUGGCACCACUUUGCAGUGGUUCCAGUCCUACUUAGAUGGUUGUUCCCAAAGGGUGUUGCUUGGGGAGUGCUUUUCAGGCCCAUGAAACCUUCAAUGUGGGGUUCAUCUACAUGAAACCGCUGGGUGGGGUUAUCCAGAGGUUUGGAGUACGUUGUCAGCAGUAUGCUGAUGACAUGCAGCUCUGUUUCUCCUUUGCAUCUGCAGGUCAGGCAGUGGAAGUGCUGGACCAGUUUCUUGCCUCAGUAAUGGACUGGAUGAGAACCAACAAACUGAAACUCAAUCCCAAUAAGACUGAGGCACUGUUAGUGGGUGGUUCCCUAGACAGAUGGGUAGGAGAUUGCCUACUCUUGAUGGGGUUACACUUCCUCUGAACGAGCAGGUCUGUAGCUUGGGGGUACUCCUGGAUCCUUUGCUGUCACUCAAGGCUCUGGUGGCCUGGAGUGCCUUCCAUCAGCUUCGGCUGGUGGCCCAGCUACGCCACUAUCGGGACAAGGAUAGCCUAUCUACUGUUGUCUAUGCUCUGGUAACCUCAAGGUUAGAUUACUGCAAUGUGUUAUACAUAAGGCUGCCUCUGAAGACAGUUCAGAAACUUCAGCUAGUGCAGAAUUCAGCUGCCAGGUUGUUCACCAGAGCAAAACAGUAUGAGCAUAUUGCACUGAUCCUGGUCCGACUGCACUGGCCACCAAUUAGUUUCCAGGCCCAAUUCAAAGUGCUGGUUUUGACCUAUAAAGCCUUAAAUGUCUGAGGAUCACAGUACCUCACGGACUCCCUCUUUCCAUAUGGGCCUACCCAGACCCUGAGAUCAUCUUCUGAGGCCCUUCUUCGUGUGCCUCCUCCUCAAGAGGUCCAGAGGGUGGCAACAUGAGAAUGGGCCUUCUCUGCAGUGGCUCCCCAUCUGUGGAAUGCUCUCCCCAGGGAAGUUCGCCUUUAUUAUACCAUGCAAAAAUGAUCUUUUUUAACUAGGCCUUUGUUUGAUUUGAUUAACAUCCUAUGCCCUUUUAAAAUGUGGGGGUUUGGGGGGUGGGGGGUUAUUGGGUGGUUGUUGUUUUUAUUUUUAUUACGCAUUUUGUGGUUUUAUAUUUUGAUUUUAUUCUGUGAACCACCCUAAGACCUUGGGGUACAGGGUGGUUAAUAAUAAUAAUAAUAAUAAUAAUAAUAAUAAUGCUCCUGUCUAUCUUUCAGGUUUCCCAUAGACAUCUGGUCAGCCACUGUGAGAACAGGAUGUUGGACUAGAUAGGCCAUUGGCCUGAUCCAGAAAGGCU